GGGCUUCUGGCGCAAUGGCAACGCGUUUGACUUCGAAUCAAAAGAUUGCAGGUUCGAUCCCUGCGGGGCUCA
RNAcentral lists this transfer RNA (72 nucleotides) under Sclerotinia sclerotiorum 1980 UF-70. RNAcentral describes it as "tRNA-Arg (TCG) (tRNA-Arg-TCG-2-1, tRNA-Arg-TCG-2-2, tRNA-Arg-TCG-4-1)". It matches the Rfam family "tRNA". Rfam says of the family: Transfer RNA (tRNA) molecules are approximately 80 nucleotides in length. Their secondary structure includes four short double-helical elements and three loops (D, anti-codon, and T loops). Lineage: Eukaryota; Fungi; Ascomycota; Leotiomycetes; Helotiales; Sclerotiniaceae. The record is from RNAcentral.